AUUGAACGCUGGCGGCAUGCCUUACACAUGCAAGUCGAGCGGCAGCACGGGAGCAAUCCUGGUGGCGAGUGGCGAACGGGUGAGUAAAGUAUCGGAACGUGCCCAGUCGUGGGGGAUAACGUAGCGAAAGUUACGCUAAUACCGCAUACGAUCUAUGGAUGAAAGCGGGGGAUCGCAAGACCUCGCGCGAUUGGAGCGGCCGAUAUCAGAUUAGGUAGUUGGGGGGGUAAAGGCUCACCAAGCCGACGAUCUGUAGCUGGUCUGAGAGGACGACGAGCCACACUGGGACUGAGACACGGCCCAGACUCCUACGGGGGGCAGCAGUGGGGAAUUUUGGACAAGGGGCGAAAGCCUGAUCCAGCCAUGCCGCGUGCAGGAUGAAGGCCUUCGGGUUGUAAACUGCUUUUGUACGGAACGAAAAGGUUUGGCCUAAUAAGCUGAGCUCAUGACGGUACCGUAAGAAUAAGCACCGGCUAACUACGUGCCAGCAGCCGCGGUAA
RNAcentral lists this ribosomal RNA (500 nucleotides) under uncultured bacterium. RNAcentral's name for it is "partial 16S ribosomal RNA". It matches the Rfam family "Bacterial small subunit ribosomal RNA", at positions 29 to 523 of the family's 1533-position model. The record is from RNAcentral.